Molecule: ribosomal RNA, 306 nt
Filed under: Escherichia coli
Lineage: Bacteria; Pseudomonadati; Pseudomonadota; Gammaproteobacteria; Enterobacterales; Enterobacteriaceae
Description: partial 16S ribosomal RNA
Rfam family: Bacterial small subunit ribosomal RNA
Source: RNAcentral
AAAUUGAAGAGUUUGAUCAUGGCUCAGAUUGAACGCUGGCGGCAGGCCUAACACAUGCAAGUCGAACGGUAACAGGAAACAGCUUGCUGUUUCGCUGACGAGUGGCGGACGGGUGAGUAAUGUCUGGGAAACUGCCUGAUGGAGGGGGAUAACUACUGGAAACGGUAGCUAAUACCGCAUAACGUCGCAAGACCAAAGAGGGGGACCCUCGGGCCUCUUGCCAUCGGAUGUGCCCAGAUGGGAUUAGCUUGUUGGUGGGGUAACGGCUCACCAAGGCGACGAUCCCUAGCUGGUCUGAGAGGAUGA